CGGAAGGAUAGUUCUCUGCUGGAGUUACUGGUUUUUAUGCCCCCCUGUUCAAUUUUUUGUCUGAACGUUGAAAUCUUUAUGUACACUGAAUUAAAUAGAAAGUGUUAUCUACUGGGAAGAGCUGUUAUCGCAAAACAACAGUUUUUGGAAAAAUGAAAGACUAUAUAGCGACACGUACGCAAGUUGGCAGCCCAAUGGAUAACAGACUUGACGUACCGCCUCCAACGUUACUGGGACUCGGACAUUUCGCGUUUUUAUUUGAGAUGUGUUGAUAUAAUUCUCCUUAUCACGAUUUUAACGCUUUAAGCAAACAAUAAACUAAGUAGAUUCUUUCAUGCAAUAUGCAUGACGUUAGUUUCACACUCUCGCGUUGUAGCAUAAUUUUUAAUAAUCACUUGUAGUAAAUCAUGUUUUUUACAGAACAUUAGUAAGUUAGACAUACAAUAUUGUCAUAUGCAAUAAGGAAUAACAUAUAUAAAAAUGGUUAGUUAAGGUUCGUUAUGGAACUUUAGUAGAGAAAUCUGCAUGUAUGUUUGGGGGUUGUAUAAUAUUUAACUUAUGUUAUCAGGUACGCAUUUUUCCCCUUCGCUUUGCUUGGACAACUUCCGGUGUUACGGCAUUUCUCCUUUUGCAUCUCCUGCGCACUGUGUGCUGUGCAAAGAAAUAUAGCGGUGUUCUCAUGCGUGUGUCACAGGAUGCCUGGAUCAACUUUCAAAAAAUGUAAAUCAUACAAUGUCCAAAUUUCUGUGGCUUGCAAAACCUGCAAACACUGCAGACAAAAGCAAGAAAUGAAAAAAGCAAAACAAGUUGCCAAACAAAAAAUAAAUGAGCAAUGGAAAGUUGCAAAUAAUUUCUGUAAACUUGUAAAUUCUGGGUGUACAUGUUCUGGUAGGUCAUUAUUUAAUACAUCCCAAUGCCUUGCCUUGCCUAAUACAUUCCAAUGUUGAAGUUGCCCUUUAUUGUGUCUGAAUGUUUAUAUGUGUCUCUAUACGUUAGCAUGUGUGUUUGUAACCACUGUUUGUUUUUUAAAUUAUUCCAGAAAUCUUUCUUGUCACAUACAUUACCUAUUUCACAGCAGAGGACUGCAGUGCUGCUGUACAAACCUCUUCUGCAGCAGCCAAUGUCCCUCAUCUGUCUGUCUCACAAUCACUUAAAGGUCCAAAAGACUCCAGUGCUGCUGUACAAACCUCUUCUGCAGCAGCCAAUGUCCCUCAUCUGCCUGUCUCACAAUCACUUAAAGGUCCAAAAGACUCCAGUGCUGCUGUACAAACCUCUUCUGCUGCAGCCAAUGACCCUCAUCUGCCUGUCUCACAAUCACUUAAAGGUCCAAAAGACUCCAGUGCUGCUGUACAACCUCUUCUGCAGCAGCCAAUGACCCUCAUCUGUCUGUCUCACAAUCACUUAAAGGUCCAAAAGACUCCAGUGCUGCUGUACAACCUCUUCUGCAGCAGCCAAUGACCCUCAUCUGUCUGUCUCACAAUCACUUAAAGGUAACACUUAUACUACCAACUCUCUAUCUGUCCAUCCAUAAAUUCAUACAUCCUCUCAUCGAUACAUUCUCCCUCCCAUUCUUCCAUACAUCCUCCCUAGACCUGUCUAUCUAAUCUGUCUGUCUGUCUGUCUGUCUGUCCAUUCAUCAUCCAGUCUGCAAGUUUCUGUCUUUCUAAUCUGUCAUUUUACACUUUCUUUAGGUCCAAAAGACUCCAGUGCUGCUGUACAACCUCUUCUGCAGCAGCCAAUGACCCUCAUCUGUCUGUCUCACAAUCACUUAAAGGUCCAAAAGACUCCAGUGCUGCUGUACAAACCUCUUCUGCAGCAGAAAAUGACCCUCAUCCGUCUGUCUCACAAACAAACAAAUUUCGGUACAAGAUUAAAGACUGUCCUGUGCAUUUACUCAAAGAACACUUUCCAUUUGUAAAAACCAUGGGAACGAGAAAAGCAAAAAAUGGAAUAAACAAACAAAGGUUUCGCUGGCAGCCUUGCUCUGGCUGUGGAGUAAAGUGGAAGGACACAUGGAAGCUUCAUUCGGAUGAAUAAAGUAAUGUGUUAUGAAGUUGUAGGAUGAACCCAAAUGCAGACAGAGAUGAACACUAAAGACUUUUAUUGUGACAAAACAGAAAACAAAACCCACGAGGGGGCAAAACAAUAUAAACAGGAAGACUUAAGUACACUAAACUAGACAGGACACUGGACUAAACUCUGACACUAAACUGGAUACACUUAACAAUUAACUAGACAAAACACUUGACAUAUAAA
Molecule: non-coding RNA, 2256 nt
Organism: Misgurnus anguillicaudatus (oriental weatherfish)
Lineage: Eukaryota; Metazoa; Chordata; Actinopteri; Cypriniformes; Cobitidae
Source: RefSeq, a predicted model, not a curated record